Molecule: ribosomal RNA, 356 nt
Filed under: Ophiostoma novo-ulmi subsp. americana
Lineage: Eukaryota; Fungi; Ascomycota; Sordariomycetes; Ophiostomatales; Ophiostomataceae
Description: LSU rRNA
Rfam family: Bacterial large subunit ribosomal RNA
Source: RNAcentral
UAGGAAAACNGCNUAGAGAGUUGCUAGUAGAGAAUACGAAGGCGCAUGAGAUAACAAUCUUAAAGGAACUCGGCAAAAUGACUACCGUAACUUAGGGAUGAGGGCUCAUUUAAAUUGAUUAAUAUCAAGUAUAAAAGAAGAGACAUAAAAUAGUGUUGUACGACUGUUUAAUUAAAACAAAGCACUUUGCAAAAGAUGAUAAAUCAAUGUAUUAAGUGUGAUAUCUGCCCAAUGCCGUCAGCUUAAUUAUAGAUAUUAAUAAUAGAAAAUUGGUAUCCAUAAAAAUCCCCGGUGAAUGGCGGUCUUAUUUUGAGGAUCCUAAGGUAGCGAAAUGCCUUGGCCGUUAAAUGCGGUCA